GGGAAGGCUUCUCUGAGGAGGCGGCCUAGGAGGGAAGCCAGAAGGAAGCCAGGCUCGUACGCCCAUCUGUGAAAUGGAUCCAUUAAGGACACUUGGAACCGGGUGGAAGCAGCCACUUGGACCUGGCGUCCCAGCACAAGAUGACACGGGGGAGCCGGAGCCAGAGUCACUCCUGGGAUUUGGACUCCAGAGGCCCCGGAUGUGCAAUUGCCCCCUGGGGCAGGGCCUCUGAGGCCACAGAUCCUUUCCCAGACAAAGCUCAUCCUGGCCAGCCACCAGAGUCGUCACUCUGCAGCACCCUGGCUGAACCUCUCCUGCGGUGUCCCCUUGGUGGAGAAAAGCUCACAAGACCCUCCCUGAUCUGGCUGCUGCAGACCUUUCCCACCCAUUUCCCACCAGGCUGGCCUGUGUUCACCACGGUCCUUCUGCGCCUUAAGUAUGCAGAGCUUCACCUAGCCUCAGGGCCUUUGCACCUGCUGUUCGCCCUUUCUGGAAUGCUUUUUCCCCAGAUCUAAGUGGCUUCAUCUCAACACUCAGGUCUCAGCACAAGUGUUAUGUCCUCAGAAAAGCGGCUAGACCUUGAUCAUCCUGACUAGUUGGACUUAACCUUCCUGCCCCUCUUCCCUCGGGCACACAUUGUCUCAGCCUUCAGUUUUAUUGCCUUCAAAGACUUUCUGUAACUAUAGUGACAGGGUUACUCCUUUAUCGUUUUACUUCCCCCUGGAAGGCCAGCAACGGGCGAGCAGGAAUCCUGUCUGCCUUGUUCACCCCUGUAUCUUCAGAGCCUACGUGACACAUGGCAGAUUCUCAAUAAA
Camelus dromedarius (Arabian camel) is the source of this 815-nucleotide long non-coding RNA. RefSeq lists it as uncharacterized. The transcript is spliced from 4 exons. Lineage: Eukaryota; Metazoa; Chordata; Mammalia; Artiodactyla; Camelidae. The record is from RefSeq and is a predicted model, not a curated record.